AACGCAUAUUGCGGUCGAGGCUUCGGCUGAGACCAUGUCUGCCUCAGCGUCGGUGUGACCCCUCAAUCCCCUCACCCACCUUGCGUGGAUGUGUGUCCGGAUUGGAUCUGGUCUCCCCACUACACUCGUAGUGGGUUGGCCGAAAUUCAGAGGCUCAAGCCGGGACCUGUAUGGCAACAGCAAGGUAGGUAGUUCGUCUACUCCAGCUGAUGCUUUGGGGACCGUGCCCGAGCCCGCAGGAAAACACCACUCUUUCGACCUGAGAUCAGGCAAGGCUACCCGCUGAACUUAA
RNAcentral lists this unclassified non-coding RNA (292 nucleotides) under uncultured fungus. RNAcentral describes it as "partial contains 5.8S rRNA and ITS2". Lineage: Eukaryota; Fungi. The record is from RNAcentral.